Molecule: non-coding RNA, 324 nt
Organism: Arachis ipaensis
Lineage: Eukaryota; Viridiplantae; Streptophyta; Magnoliopsida; Fabales; Fabaceae
Source: RefSeq, a predicted model, not a curated record
AUAUACAGAAAUGCUGCUAUAUACCAUAUAAAAAGCUUACUAUUUGGGACACAGGUUUCCUUACAAAAACAAGAAUCAUGGGCAUAAGCAACUGGUAGAAAGACGAGGUUGAACGGUAAGACGAUGUAGAAAGAUAUGAUGUGUUGAAAGAGAAGAAGAAUCAGAAAGUAAAGUUGAUGUUGAUCCUGAAGCCUUCAAGUGUUAACAAAACAUCAAAACUGUGCUAUGAUCUCUCACCAAUUGGAAAGAAAGUUUGGGUCAUAAGGUAAAACUUAUUCAAGAUCAGUUUGACAAAGAUCCUUGGGAGAAUGGUUCUAAGGAUGA